UACGUAGGGUGCAAGCGUUAAUCGGAAUUACUGGGCGUAAAGCGUGCGCAGGCGGUUUUGUAAGUCUGUCGUGAAAUCCCCGGGCUUAACCUGGGAAUGGCGAUGGAGACUGCAAGGCUAGAAUCUGGCAAAGGGGGGUAGAAUUCCACGUGUAGCAGUGAAAUGCGUAAAGAUGUGGAGGAACACCGAUGGCGAAGGCAGCCCCCUGGGUCAAGAUUGACGCUCAUGCACGAAAGCGUGGGGAGCAAACAGG
Molecule: ribosomal RNA, 253 nt
Filed under: uncultured bacterium
Lineage: Bacteria
Description: partial 16S ribosomal RNA
Rfam family: Bacterial small subunit ribosomal RNA
Source: RNAcentral